UACAGAGGUGGCAAGCGUUGUUCGGAAUUACUGGGCGUAAAGCGCACGUAGGCGGACUCUUAAGUCGGUGGUGAAAUCCUGGAGCUCAACUCCAGAACUGCCUUCGAUACUGGGAGUCUCGAGUUCGGGAGAGGUGAGUGGAACUGCGAGUGUAGAGGUGAAAUUCGUAGAUAUUCGCAAGAACACCAGUGGCGAAGGCGGCUCACUGGCCCGAUACUGACGCUGAGGUGCGAAAGCGUGGGGAGCAAACAGG
RNAcentral lists this ribosomal RNA (253 nucleotides) under uncultured bacterium. Its description in RNAcentral is "partial 16S ribosomal RNA". It matches the Rfam family "Bacterial small subunit ribosomal RNA", at positions 524 to 776 of the family's 1533-position model. The record is from RNAcentral.